CCGGACUCCUACGGGAGGCAGCAGUGAGGAAUAUUUGUCAAUGGCCGAGAGGCUGAACCAGCCAAGUCGCGUGAGGGAUGACGGCCCUACGGGUUGUAAACCUCUUUUGUCGGGGAGCAAAGAGAGUCACGUGUGGCUCAUUGAGAGUACCCGAAGAAAAAGCAUCGGCUAACGCCGUGCCAGCAGCCGCGGUAAUACGUAGGUGGCAAGCGUUGUCCGGAAUUACUGGGUGUAAAGGGAGCGCAGGCGGGAAGCCAAGUCAGCUGUGAAAACUACGGGCUUAACUUGUAGACUGCAGUUGAAACUGGUUUUCUUGAGUGAAGGAGAGGUUGGCGGAAUUCCGAGGGUAGCGGUGAAAUGCGUAGAUAUUCGGAGGAACACCGGUGGCGAAGGCGGCCAACUGGGCUUUAACUGACGCUGAGGCUCGAAAGUGUGGGGAGCAAACAGGAUUAGAUACCCGAGUAA
RNAcentral lists this ribosomal RNA (465 nucleotides) under uncultured bacterium. Its description in RNAcentral is "bacterial SSU rRNA". It matches the Rfam family "Bacterial small subunit ribosomal RNA", at positions 331 to 793 of the family's 1533-position model. The record is from RNAcentral.